AUUACUUACAUGGUAACAUUAACAAAUGCACUGGCAAUUAUGAACUUAACAAGGGAUUAAAAGGACCACGCGAAUAGAAAGUUCGAUCGACUAGAUUAUCAAUUGAAUAUAAUAUUGUAUUAAAUAACAAUGUCAAUUAUAUAAAAAAAAAAAAAAACUUUUCGAAACAUUUUUACGUACCCGUAAAUCGUCUGACUAGAGUCUGAUUUUAGAUUCCGGGCGGAACGAGGAACGUAU
Molecule: non-coding RNA, 237 nt
Organism: Cinara cedri
Lineage: Eukaryota; Metazoa; Arthropoda; Insecta; Hemiptera; Aphididae
Source: the annotation of a GenBank genome assembly